GACGAACGCUGGCGGCGUGCUUAACACAUGCAAGUCGAACGGAAAGGCCCUGCUUGCAGGGUACUCGAGUGGCGAACGGGUGAGUAACACGUGGGUGAUCUGCCCUGCACUUCGGGAUAAGCCUGGGAAACUGGGUCUAAUACCUGAUAGGAGCCAUUUUUAGUGUGAUGGUUGGAAAGUUUUUUCGGUGUAGGAUGAGCUCGCGGCCUAUCAGCUUGUUGGUGGGGUAAUGGCCUACCAAGGCGGCGACGGGUAGCCGGCCUGAGAGGGUGGACGGCCACAUUGGGACUGAGAGACGGCCCAGACUCCUACGGGAGGCAGCAGUGGGGAAUAUUGCACAAUGGGCGCAAGCCUGAUGCAGCGACGCCGCGUGGGGGAUGACGGCCUUCGGGUUGUAAACUCCUUUCGCUAGGGACGAAGCUUUUUGUGACGGUACCUAGAUAAGAAGCACCGGCUAACUACGUG
Molecule: ribosomal RNA, 465 nt
Filed under: uncultured bacterium
Lineage: Bacteria
Description: partial 16S ribosomal RNA
Rfam family: Bacterial small subunit ribosomal RNA
Source: RNAcentral